RNAcentral lists this ribosomal RNA (471 nucleotides) under uncultured bacterium. Its description in RNAcentral is "bacterial SSU rRNA". It matches the Rfam family "Bacterial small subunit ribosomal RNA", at positions 328 to 793 of the family's 1533-position model. The record is from RNAcentral.
GAAGAGCACUCCUACGGGAGGCAGCAGUGGGGAAUAUUGCACAAUGGGCGCAAGCCUGAUGCAGCCAUGCCGCGUGUAUGAAGAAGGCCUUCGGGUUGUAAAGUACUUUCAGCAGUGAGGAAGGUGGGUAUGUUAAUAGCAUACUCAUUUGACGUUAGCUGCAGAAGAAGCACCGGCUAACUCCGUGCCAGCAGCCGCGGUAAUACGGAGGGUGCGAGCGUUAAUCGGAAUUACUGGGCGUAAAGCGCAUGCAGGUGGUUUGUUAAGUCAGAUGUGAAAGCCCGGGGCUCAACCUCGGAAUUGCAUUUGAAACUGGCAAACUAGAGUACUGUAGAGGGGGUAGAAUUUCAGGUGUAGCGGUGAAAUGCGUAGAGAUCUGAAGGAAUACCGGUGGCGAAGGCGGCCCCCUGGACAGAUACUGACACUCAGAUGCGAAAGCGUGGGGAGCAAACAGGAUUAGAUACCCUGUAG